Molecule: ribosomal RNA, 465 nt
Filed under: uncultured bacterium
Lineage: Bacteria
Description: partial 16S ribosomal RNA
Rfam family: Bacterial small subunit ribosomal RNA
Source: RNAcentral
GAUGAACGCUGGCGGCGUGCUUAACACAUGCAAGUCGAACGGAAAGGCUCCUGCUUGCAGGGGUACUCGAGUGGCGAACGGGUGAGUAACACGUGGGUGAUCUGCCCUGCACUUCGGGAUAAGCCUGGGAAACUGGGUCUAAUACCGGAUAGGACGAUGGUUUGGAUGCCAUUGUGGAAAGUUUUUUCGGUGUGGGAUGAGCUCGCGGCCUAUCAGCUUGUUGGUGGGGUAAUGGCCUACCAAGGCGUCGACGGGUAGCCGGCCUGAGAGGGUGACGGCCACAUUGGGACUGAGAUACGGCCCAGACUCCUACGGGAGGCAGCAGUGGGGAAUAUUGCACAAUGGGCGCAAGCCUGAUGCAGCGACGCCGCGUGGGGGAUGACGGCCUUCGGGUUGUAAACUCCUUUCGCUAGGGACGAAGCGCAAGUGACGGUACCUGGAGAAGAAGCACCGGCUAACUACGUG